GUGAGGAAUUUUCCGCAAUGGGCGAAAGCCUGACGGAGCAAUGCCGCGUGAAGGAUGAAGGCCUAUGGGUUGUAAACUUCUUUUCUCAGAAAAGAAUUAUGACGGUAUCUGAGGAAUAAGCAUCGGCUAACUCUGUGCCAGCAGCCGCGGUAAGACAGAGGAUGCAAGCGUUAUCCGGAAUGAUUGGGCGUAAAGCGUCUGUAGGUUGUUUAAAAAGUAUUCUGUCAAAGAUUAGGGCUUAACCCUAGAUAGGCAGAAUAAACUUUUAAGCUAGAGUUUGGUAGAGGCAGAGGGAAUUCCCGGUGGAGCGGUGAAAUGCGUAGAUAUCGGGAGGAACACCAAAGGCGAAGGCACUCUGCUGGGCCAAUACUAACACUGCGAGACGAAAGCGAGGGGAGCAAAUGGGAUUAGAAACCCGGGUAGUCC
This 426-nucleotide ribosomal RNA is filed under the name uncultured bacterium. Its description in RNAcentral is "partial 16S ribosomal RNA". It matches the Rfam family "Bacterial small subunit ribosomal RNA", at positions 354 to 796 of the family's 1533-position model. The record is from RNAcentral.